GCUUCGAGCCCAAGCAAUUCUCUGUAGCUGUGCACUCGAGCGUUGGAGCGAACUCAUACAAGCCAGAGAUUACUGUAGACUUGGAAGACUAUGGGUGCAGAGAGAGGACAUUUGAGUCUCUAGGAGAAGAGAGUGGAACAGUGAUGUAUCAGACGUUUGAGAAGCUUGGUAAGUACUGUGGAUCGCCUAGAUCUACCUUGAAGUGUGAAUGGAGCAGCAACAAUAGCUGCAGCAGCGAGGACGAGAAGGACGAGGGAAUCUAGCAGAAUUUUUCUUCCUAAUAACUAUUUUCGAGCUUUCUGUUUUUGUUCUUUCUUUUUAAAAAACUUAUUAAGUUCUUAUGAAUAAUGACUUGUGAAGUUUGAGUUCGUCUCCUUCACAAGCAAGUUGUAUUGGUGUUUUCUACUUUAUGAAUAUGGGUUUUAUAUACCUAAAGACUUGUUAUGUUAUUAUUCUUAAAUGUUGCUGCUAUGAUGAUUACUAUUAUCGAUUUUUACUAUUAUAUUUGUUUUUUUUAACGAUUCGUUGAAAAAUAAACGAGAUUGACACUAAUGUAGCAAAAUGUGCAAUAUUAUCUUCAAAACAUUACAAAAUUCAGUUGUCUUAAUCUUUUUAUUUCCGAUGACAAAUUAUGGUUACGUAAAUAGUACUAUAUUAAAAAAAAAAGAAAAAAAAAGACGAAAAUAAAACAAAAAGGGAGAAUU
Molecule: small RNA, 704 nt
Filed under: Arabidopsis thaliana (thale cress)
Lineage: Eukaryota; Viridiplantae; Streptophyta; Magnoliopsida; Brassicales; Brassicaceae
Description: ATSL130450
Source: RNAcentral